GAGCGCGUAGCUCAGUUGGCAGAGCAUUGGGCUAGUAUUCCAAAGGUCGUAGGUUCGAUUCCCACCGUGGCCA
RNAcentral lists this transfer RNA (73 nucleotides) under Paramuricea clavata. It matches the Rfam family "tRNA". From Rfam's summary of the family: Transfer RNA (tRNA) molecules are approximately 80 nucleotides in length. Their secondary structure includes four short double-helical elements and three loops (D, anti-codon, and T loops). Further hydrogen bonds mediate the characteristic L-shaped molecular structure. tRNAs have two regions of fundamental functional importance: the anti-codon, which is responsible for specific mRNA codon recognition, and the 3' end, to which the tRNAs corresponding amino acid is attached (by aminoacyl-tRNA synthetases). tRNAs cope with the degeneracy of the genetic code in two manners: having more than one tRNA (with a specific anti-codon) for a particular amino acid; and 'wobble' base-pairing, i.e. permitting non-standard base-pairing at the 3rd anti-codon position. The record is from Rfam by way of RNAcentral. Lineage: Eukaryota; Metazoa; Cnidaria; Anthozoa; Malacalcyonacea; Plexauridae.